This 757-nucleotide ribosomal RNA is filed under the name Basidiobolus microsporus. Its description in RNAcentral is "partial large subunit ribosomal RNA". It matches the Rfam family "Eukaryotic large subunit ribosomal RNA", at positions 38 to 643 of the family's 3401-position model. Lineage: Eukaryota; Fungi; Basidiobolomycota; Basidiobolomycetes; Basidiobolales; Basidiobolaceae. The record is from RNAcentral.
GCAUAUCAAUAAGCGGAGGAAAAGAAACUAACAAGGAUUCCCCUAGUAACGGCGAGUGAAGCGGGAAGAGCUCAAAUUUAAAAUCUGUAAGGUUCAACCUUGCCGAAUUGUAGUUUGAWGAAGUGUUUUCCGCGGCGGCUGCAGUACAAAUCCUUUGGAACAGGGUAUCAGAGAGGGUGAGAAUCCCGUCUUUGACUGCAGACUAGUUGCACUGUGAUACACUUUCUAAGAGUCGAGUUGUUUGGGAAUGCAGCUCAAAAUGGGUGGUAAAUUUCAUCUAAAGCUAAAUAUUGGCAAGAGACCGAUAGCGAACAAGUACCGUGAGGGAAAGAUGAAAAGAACUUUGAAAAGAGAGUUAAAUAGUACGUGAAAUUGUUAAAAGGGAAACGCUUGAAGUCAGUGUUGCCGGCUGAAAAUCAGCUUCGUGCGGACGGCUUGCUGCGGUGGAGGGAGUGUUAAAACCCCUUGCUGUAGUACAGCUGGCCGGAGGGAGUGCACUUUUUAGUCGGCAGGUCAACAUCAAUUUCAGCCGGUGGAAAAAAGCAAGUGGAACGUAGGUUGGAGCAAUCUGACUGUUAUAGCCACUAGUGGAUACACCGGCGGGGAUUGAGGACAGCAGUGCUGGCCAWUAUGGCGGAAGCGCUGGCUUUUUCUCCGGGGGGCAUACCAAGACAGCAUGCUGACUUGGCGUGUACACUCUUGGGAACGAGUCGGAUGUACUUCUCCAGCACUAAGGAUGUUGACGAAAUGGCUUUAA